ACUGAACCAGUUUUAUUUCUAUUUAUCUUUCUCGAUCUUCUUCUUCUCCUUCUAAUUCUCUUUAAUUUUUCAAUCUCCUUCUCCCUCACAAUCACAAAGAACACAUGCAACAUCUCGAUUUUCUGGGUUUUUGAAGACCACAUGCAACAUGCAACAUCUCGAUUUUCUGGGUUUUUGAAGACCACAUGCAACACCGAUUUGUAUGUUAUUUAGAUCUGAAAUCGAAGAAGCAAGAUACAAGCAAGAAUGAAUGAUUUUUUUUUUUUUUUUUUUGAAUUUAUAUUGUAAUUUUUUUUUUAAAUUUAUAUUGUAAUUUUUCUUUUAUAUGCUGUAAUCAAAGUUUUUAUAUGUUGUAAUUUUUUUUUCAUCAUAUAUUGCAAAUUUUCGAUUCUUGUUGAUA
Chenopodium quinoa (quinoa) is the source of this 400-nucleotide long non-coding RNA. RefSeq lists it as uncharacterized. The transcript is spliced from 2 exons. The record is from RefSeq and is a predicted model, not a curated record. NCBI's taxonomy places the organism in Eukaryota, Viridiplantae, Streptophyta, Magnoliopsida, Caryophyllales, Amaranthaceae.